This 253-nucleotide unclassified non-coding RNA is filed under the name uncultured Phycisphaeraceae bacterium. RNAcentral describes it as "contains 16S-23S intergenic spacer region". It matches the Rfam family "Bacterial small subunit ribosomal RNA", at positions 524 to 776 of the family's 1533-position model. Lineage: Bacteria; Pseudomonadati; Planctomycetota; Phycisphaerae; Phycisphaerales; Phycisphaeraceae. The record is from RNAcentral.
UACGAGUGGCCCGAGCGUUGCGCGGAUUCACUGGGCUUAAAGCGUGCGUAGGCGGGAGCGUAAGUACUUUGUGAAAGCCCACGGCUCAACCGUGGAAUUGCAGGGUAUACUGCGUUCCUUGAGGCCGGUAGAGGUUGUCGGAACUCUAGGUGUAGCGGUGAAAUGCGUAGAUAUCUAGAGGAACGCCCAUGGUGAAGACAGGCAACUGGACCGGUACUGACGCUGAGGCACGAAAGCGUGGGGAUCAAACAGG